AAGGAUCAUUACCAAAUCCAAAAAAAAAAACUUCAACCCCAAUAAUGUGCAUGUGGUAGGAAAAAAAAAAUGGAGAGGAGAAAAGGAAAAAAAAAUUCUCUUUUUUAUUAUUUUUUGAUUCUCUAUUUUUUUCUUCUUUUUUUUCCCAACAUUUUUAACCCCUUUUUUAAACCACAAAUCUUUAUUUUCAACAAAAAAAAACAAUAAAAAAUUUGAGAGACAACUUUUAACGGUGGAUCUCUUGGCUCGU
Molecule: unclassified non-coding RNA, 250 nt
Filed under: uncultured fungus
Lineage: Eukaryota; Fungi
Description: partial contains 18S rRNA, ITS1, 5.8S rRNA, ITS2 and 28S rRNA
Source: RNAcentral